GUCCAUGGCCAUGCUCCCCUGAACAAGCCUGAUCCCAUCUGAUCUCAGAAGCUAAGCAGGGUCGGUCCUGGUUAGUACUUGGAUGGGAGACCACCUAGGAAGAUCAGGUGCUGUAGGCA
RNAcentral lists this ribosomal RNA (119 nucleotides) under Pteropus alecto (black flying fox). Lineage: Eukaryota; Metazoa; Chordata; Mammalia; Chiroptera; Pteropodidae. The record is from RNAcentral.